Molecule: non-coding RNA, 370 nt
Organism: Schizosaccharomyces pombe (fission yeast)
Lineage: Eukaryota; Fungi; Ascomycota; Schizosaccharomycetes; Schizosaccharomycetales; Schizosaccharomycetaceae
Source: the annotation of a GenBank genome assembly
ACGAUAUAGAUUCUAGUGAAUUUGAAGGCAUUUCUGGUUACUUACAGAAAUUGUUCUAAAAAUUGACUGGGAAACCCAUUUGGCUGCUAGAAAAGGCGCAUUAAAUUGCUUUAUAAAUCCCAAUUGUUUUACAAAUUCAUUUAAUUCUUUUUACUCUUAUUUCAACAAGUUUAUGAAAUUCAUUCAAACAAACUAUGAUCAUUCUUUCAAAUCAACGUUUUACUACUAGGCUGACAGUUUCAAUAUUUCAAUGUUCUCAACUUAUUGUAGUACUUAAUGAGAGAGAGAAAUUAGUUUAUCUUCAAGAUAUAAACAAAUCCUCAAUUUUCUUAUUGAAAUGAAUCUUGAUCGUAAUAUUCGAUGUAACAGU